Molecule: ribosomal RNA, 641 nt
Filed under: uncultured archaeon
Lineage: Archaea
Description: bacterial SSU rRNA
Rfam family: Archaeal small subunit ribosomal RNA
Source: RNAcentral
UCCGACGGUGAGGGAUGAAGCUGGGGGCGCAAACCGGAUUAGAUACCCGGGUAGUCCCAGCAGUAAACGAUGCCAGCUAUGUGUUGCUGGAACCAUGGGUUCCACAGUGCCGAAGGAAGCCGGAAGCUGGCCACCUGGGAAGUACGGUCGCAAGGCUGAAACUUAAAGGAAUUGGCGGGGGAGUAGCACAACCGGUGGAGCCUGCGGUUUAAUUGGAUACAACGCCGGGAAUCUUACCGGAGGGGACAGCAGUAUGAAGGCCAGGCUAAAGACCUUGCCAGAUCAGCUGAGAGGAGGUGCAUGGCCGUCGCCAGUUCGUACCGUGAGGCAUCCUGUUUAGUCAGGCAACGAUCGAGACCCGCAGUCUUAUUUGCCAGCAUGCCCUUUGGGGUGUAUGGGUACAAUAAGACGACCGCCAGCGCUAAGCUGGAGGAAGGAGCGGGCUACGGUAGGUCAGCAUGCCCCGAAUCCUCCGGGAUACACGCGGGCUACAAUGGUCAGGACAAAAGGUACCGACCUCGAAAGAGUGAGGUAAUCCACAAACCUGAUCUCAGUCCGGAUCGAAGGCUGCAACUCGCCUUCGUGAAGAUGGAAUCGGUAGUAAUCGUGACUCACAAUGUCACGGUGAAUAUGUCCCUGCU